This 400-nucleotide ribosomal RNA is filed under the name uncultured bacterium. Its description in RNAcentral is "bacterial SSU rRNA". It matches the Rfam family "Bacterial small subunit ribosomal RNA", at positions 355 to 772 of the family's 1533-position model. The record is from RNAcentral.
UGGGGAAUAUUGGACAAUGGGCGAAAGCCUGAUCCAGCAAUGCCGCGUGAAUGAUGAAGGCCUUAGGGUUGUAAAGUUCUUUUAGCAGGGAAGAUAAUGACGGUACCUGCAGAAAAAGCCCCGGCUAACUUCGUGCCAGCAGCCGCGGUAAGACGAAGGGGGCUAGCGUUGUUCGGAAUUACUGGGCGUAAAGAGCGCGUAGGCGGUCUGGUAAGUUGGGAGUGAAAGCCCGGGGCUUAACCUCGGAAUUGCUUUCAAAACUGCCAGGCUAGAGUGUAGUAGGGGAUGAUGGAAUUCCUAGUGUAGAGGUGAAAUUCUUAGAUAUUAGGAGGAACACCGGUGGCGAAGGCGGUCAUCUGGGCUACAACUGACGCUGAGGCGCGAAAGCGUGGGGAGCAAA